CCCGCUGAACUUAAGCAUAUCAGUAAGCGGAGGAAAAGAAACUAACAAGGAUUCCCGCAGUAGCUGCGAGCGAACAGGGAAGAGCCCAGGUUUUAAAUCGCGCAAGCGAGUUGUAGGGUGUAGGCGUUGCUCUCGUGGUUGGGGCGCGCAGGUCCAAGUUCCUUGGAAGAGGACACCAGAGAGGGUGAGAGUCCCGUUGGAUCAGCAGCCCCGGUUUCAUGGGCAGCGCCGCAGAGUCGGGUUGUUUGGGAAUGCAGCCCAAAGCGGGUGGUAAAUCCCAUCCAAGGCUAAAUACGGGCAGGAGACCGAUAGCGAACAAGUACCGUGAGGGAAAGAUGAAAAGCACUUUGGAAAGAGAGUCAAAAGCACGUGAAAUUGUUAAAAGGGAAGCGAUUGGCGGUAGGAUUGGCGUGGAGCAAGGCUGUGGGGGUGUGUUGCUUUUCAGCACACAGCGGCCCUCUGCUCCACGGCAAAGUCAUUGACGGCUGGGGUGGAGUGAUCUAGGCCGCAGGAAGGUGGCGUCUCUGCGGGGGGGCUUUACAGACAGCGGCUGAAAGCAGCACAUGAGGCCGGGGAAGCAGGUGGGCAAGGGUGUUUGUUUUGUGGACGGCAGGACACGUGGCGAGACAGCGGGCCGCGCAUGCGGCAGCGGUGAGCUCGAAGCGGACUGCAAGGCACACAGGGGCAGGCACAGAUUGCACACAGAUGCAGAUGACGGAAUGUUGCCAAACGACCCGUCUUGAAACACGG
Molecule: ribosomal RNA, 750 nt
Filed under: uncultured fungus
Lineage: Eukaryota; Fungi
Description: eukaryotic LSU rRNA
Rfam family: Eukaryotic large subunit ribosomal RNA
Source: RNAcentral